RNAcentral lists this ribosomal RNA (479 nucleotides) under Streptococcus sp. oral taxon 068. RNAcentral's name for it is "bacterial SSU rRNA". It matches the Rfam family "Bacterial small subunit ribosomal RNA", at positions 28 to 491 of the family's 1533-position model. The record is from RNAcentral. Lineage: Bacteria; Bacillati; Bacillota; Bacilli; Lactobacillales; Streptococcaceae.
GAUGAACGCUGGCGGCGUGCCUAAUACAUGCAAGUAGAACGCUGAAGCUUGGUGCUUGCACCGAGCGGAUGAGUUGCGAACGGGUGAGUAACGCGUAGGUAACCUGCCUGGUAGCGGGGGAUAACUAUUGGAAACGAUAGCUAAUACCGCAUAACAGUCGACAUUGCAUGAUGUUGAUUUGAAAGGGGCAAAUGCUCCACUACCAGAUGGACCUGCGUUGUAUUAGCUAGUUGGUGAGGUAACGGCUCACCAAGGCGACGAUACAUAGCCGACCUGAGAGGGUGAUCGGCCACACUGGGACUGAGACACGGCCCAGACUCCUACGGGAGGCAGCAGUAGGGAAUCUUCGGCAAUGGGGGCAACCCUGACCGAGCAACGCCGCGUGAGUGAAGAAGGUUUUCGGAUCGUAAAGCUCUGUUGUAAGAGAAGAACGAGUGUGAGAGUGGAAAGUUCACACUGUGACGGAACUACCAGAAAGG